Molecule: ribosomal RNA, 253 nt
Filed under: uncultured bacterium
Lineage: Bacteria
Description: partial 16S ribosomal RNA
Rfam family: Bacterial small subunit ribosomal RNA
Source: RNAcentral
UACAGAGGGGGCAAGCGUUGUUCGGAAUUACUGGGCGUAAAGGGCUCGUAGGCGGCCAACUAAGUCGGACGUGAAAUCCCUCAGCUUAACUGGGGAACUGCGUCCGAUACUGGAUGGCUUGGAUUCGGGAGAGGAAUGCGGAAUUCCAGGUGUAGCGGUGAAAUGCGUAGAUAUCUGGAGGAACACCGGUGGCGAAGGCGGCAUUCUGGACCGACAUUGACGCUGAGGAGCGAAAGCCAGGGGAGCAAACGGG